RNAcentral lists this ribosomal RNA (374 nucleotides) under uncultured organism. Its description in RNAcentral is "partial 16S ribosomal RNA". It matches the Rfam family "Bacterial small subunit ribosomal RNA", at positions 527 to 896 of the family's 1533-position model. The record is from RNAcentral.
GUAGGUGGCAAGCGUUGUCCGGGAAUUAUUGGGCGUAAAGCGCGCGCAGGCGGUUCUUUAAGUCUGAUGUGAAAGCCCACGGGCUCAACCGUGGAGGGUCAUUGGAAACUGGAGAACUUGAGUACAGAAGAGGAAAGCGGAAUUCCACGUGUAGCGGUGAAAUGCGUAGAGAUGUGGAGGAACACCAGUGGCGAAGGCGGCUUUCUGGUCUGUAACUGACGCUGAGGCGCGAAAGCGUGGGGAGCAAACAGGAUUAAAUACCCUGGUAGUCCACGCCGUAAACGAUGAGUGCUAAGUGUUAGGGGGUUUCCGCCCCUUAGUGCUGCAGCUAACGCAUUAAGCACUCCGCCUGGGGAGUACGGCCGCAAAGGCUG